Molecule: transfer RNA, 71 nt
Filed under: Pseudomonas sp. SHC52
Lineage: Bacteria; Pseudomonadati; Pseudomonadota; Gammaproteobacteria; Pseudomonadales; Pseudomonadaceae
Description: tRNA-Asp-GTC
Source: RNAcentral
GGAGCGGUAGUGGGAUCGGUUCAACCGGUCUGUCGUACCAGGGCUCGCGGGUUCGAGCCCGGUCCGCUCCG